GAUGAACACUGACAGAAUGCUUAACACAUGCAAGUCAUUGGCGAAGCUGCGCUUGCGCAGUCUAGCCAAGGCGGACGGGUGAGUAACGCGUAAGGAACUUGCCCUGCAGACAGGGAUAACAGACGGAAACGACUGAUAACACCUGGUAUUGUCAGGCUGGCGCAUGCCGGCCUGAUGAAAGGAGACGCUGCAGGAGAGCCUUGCGUCCUAUUUGCUAGUUGGUGGGGUAACGGCCCACCAAGGCGAUGAUAGGUAGCCGGCCUGAGAGGGUGAACGGCCAAAAGGGGAAUGAGAUACGGCACUUACUACUACGGGGGGAAGCAGUGGGGAAUAUUGGACAAACGGGGCAACCCUGAUCCAGCAAUUCUGUGUGCAAGAAGAAGGUUUUCGGAUUGUAAAGUGCUUUCAGCAGGGAAGAAGAAAGUGACGGUACCUGCAGAAGAAGCGACGGCUAAAUACGUG
Molecule: ribosomal RNA, 462 nt
Filed under: uncultured bacterium
Lineage: Bacteria
Description: partial 16S ribosomal RNA
Rfam family: Bacterial small subunit ribosomal RNA
Source: RNAcentral